RNAcentral lists this ribosomal RNA (497 nucleotides) under uncultured bacterium. Its description in RNAcentral is "partial 16S ribosomal RNA". It matches the Rfam family "Bacterial small subunit ribosomal RNA", at positions 28 to 507 of the family's 1533-position model. The record is from RNAcentral.
GAUGAACGCUGGCGGCGUGCCUAAUACAUGCAAGUCGAGCGAACAGACGAGGAGCUUGCUCCUCUGACGUUAGCGGCGGACGGGUGAGUAACACGUGGAUAACCUACCUAUAAGACUGGGAUAACUUCGGGAAACCGGAGCUAAUACCGGAUAAUAUAUUGAACCGCAUGGUUCAAUAGUGAAAGACGGUUUUGCUGUCACUUAUAGAUGGAUCCGCGCCGCAUUAGCUAGUUGGUAAGGUAACGGCUUACCAAGGCAACGAUGCGUAGCCGACGUGAGAGGGUGAUAGGCCACACGGGAAGUGAGACACGGUCCAGACUCCUACGGGAGGCAGCAGUAGGGAAUCUUCCGCAAUGGGCGAAAGCCUGACGGAGCAACGCCGAGUGAGUGAUGAAGGUCUUCGGAUCGUAAAACUCUGUUAUGAGGGAAGAACAAAUGUGUAAGUAACUAUGCACGUCUUGACGGUACCUAAUCAGAAAGCCACGGCUAACUACGUG